RNAcentral lists this long non-coding RNA (313 nucleotides) under Elaeis guineensis (African oil palm). RNAcentral describes it as "long non-coding RNA (EGUI_LNC028172)". Lineage: Eukaryota; Viridiplantae; Streptophyta; Magnoliopsida; Arecales; Arecaceae. The record is from RNAcentral.
UCUCCCUCUUCCUUAUAAGAAAAAAAACUUAGAAGGAGAUUGCUCUGAUCUAAACCCCUUGAUUGCAUAUUUGAAUAAUUAGAAUAAUCCAAGAUGGAUCUCUCUAAUAAAUUAGAUGAGCUGCAUGUCCCAUAAAUUAGAUCGUAUACUGGCCAUCGGACACCAUCCUUCUCCAUAUUUUUCUCCUGUGCAACAAGUUUAUGCAAUUAAUAUGUUCGAGCACCACUCAUUUUGCGAGUAAAUGCCCAGCUGCUAUCAAUUUUCUAAGUUUAUACAUGAUCAAGCCUAUCAAGAUCAAACCCUAAUGACCUAU